ACAGCCUGUUCUCUGCAGCAUUCCCCCAGCUGCUUCCUGGCCGCUGGCUUUUAUUUCUGCCGGACGGUGUUCAUGGAUGAUGUCAUCUCCCCGCACCAGUUUCAGCUGCAGAUAAAAGCAGCUGAUGAACCGUGUGGGUGUUGUUUUACUGUGGCUUGUCUGGCCCUGCUGCUUCUGAAAAAGGGCCAGAAGGUUGGGUACCUCUGGUGUAACAAGGUUUGAAAAGCACUGCUUUAAGAUGGACUGCUGGGCAAACUGUAGCAAGCUGAGCACAGACUUCCUCACUUACUUCACACUUUCCCUUUCAGACAUGGCAACGUUCCACUGCUGAAUCUUCUCCAAACAGCAGUUGCCAGCAAUAAAAGAUCUACAAUUUCUG
This is a long non-coding RNA of Gavialis gangeticus (Gharial), 379 nucleotides long. RefSeq lists it as uncharacterized. The transcript has 3 exons. NCBI's taxonomy places the organism in Eukaryota, Metazoa, Chordata, Crocodylia, Gavialidae. The record is from RefSeq and is a predicted model, not a curated record.